This 195-nucleotide non-coding RNA is filed under the name Firmicutes bacterium CAG:534. RNAcentral describes it as "6S / SsrS RNA". It matches the Rfam family "6S / SsrS RNA". Rfam says of the family: E. coli 6S RNA was the first non coding RNA to be sequenced, but its function was unknown until recently. It consists of 184 nucleotides that fold into an extended hairpin structure with a large single-stranded internal bulge. The 6S RNA specifically associates with RNA polymerase holoenzyme containing the sigma70 specificity factor. Lineage: Bacteria; Bacillati; Bacillota. The record is from Rfam by way of RNAcentral.
AUUAACCUGAGAUGUGCGAUAAUUCCUGUUGUUUUGAACCUACAGAUACUUUAAACGGGAUUCCUAUAUCGCCAGGCGGCUGUCAAGCCCCCACCUCCUUGGAGGGAUUGGAGGGGAAGGCAAAAGUGCUGGCUGCGGUGACCCACCUAGCAUAGCUAGGAGUCAAAAGACAGGAACCGGCAUUUUGGGGGACAG